RNAcentral lists this ribosomal RNA (105 nucleotides) under Danio rerio (zebrafish). The record is from RNAcentral. Lineage: Eukaryota; Metazoa; Chordata; Actinopteri; Cypriniformes; Danionidae.
GCUGGCAGCUUGCUCUCUGCAACUCUCACAAUGAAGCUAAGCAGGGCUGCGCCUUGUCAAUACCUGGAUGGGAGACCACAUGGGAUAGCUAGGUUGUUGCCGGAA